Molecule: ribosomal RNA, 157 nt
Filed under: Pratylenchus penetrans
Lineage: Eukaryota; Metazoa; Nematoda; Chromadorea; Rhabditida; Pratylenchidae
Description: 5.8S ribosomal RNA
Rfam family: 5.8S ribosomal RNA
About the family: 5.8S ribosomal RNA (5.8S rRNA) is a component of the large subunit of the eukaryotic ribosome. It is transcribed by RNA polymerase I as part of the 45S precursor that also contains 18S and 28S rRNA.
Source: RNAcentral
CUAGUCUUAUCGGUGGAUCACUCGGCUCGUGGUUCGAUGACGAACGCAGCUAACUGCGAUAAAUASUGCGAACUGCAGAAACACUGAGCACGAAAGCUUCCAAUGCACAUUGCGCCAUUGGAGUCACUUCCWAUGCCACGCCUGGUUCAGGGUCAUU